Molecule: long non-coding RNA, 4492 nt
Filed under: Homo sapiens (human)
Lineage: Eukaryota; Metazoa; Chordata; Mammalia; Primates; Hominidae
Description: HSALNT0105550
Source: RNAcentral
UGGGUGGGGACACAGCCAAACCAUAUAACCUGGGCACCAGAAAACCAGUAACAUCAAACCAAUCUUCAGGUUAAGUCUUCAUCUCAACCAGUCAGGGAGAAGCUAUAUUGGUAGGAGGGUUGGGAAGGUGACUUGAGGCUCUUCAACAUCCACCCAUGAAACUCCUCUACAGAGCAGAACUGCACUGUCCUGAUUGUAUUCCCUGAACAUCACUACAAAACAGCCCAGUACAAUGUUAAAUAGAAGCAGAGGUAAUUAGAUGAACCCAUGGAUAUAAAGAGUCAAAUAUAUAUAUACACACAUACAUAUAAACACACACACAUAUAUAAAAUAUAUAAUAUAAAAUAUGCAUAUAUACAAAUAAUGCAAAAUAUAUACAAAAUAUAUAUAAUCUCUUACAAAACUGAAGUUUAUCAAAAUGAAUUGACAGAUACUAUUACUUUGUCUCUUCAACAACCAUAUUUUUCACACUAUUUAUUCAGGUAGCAAGAGAAGAUCCCUUGUCCAAUAGUUUUACGAAGAUACGUUUGAAUCAAUUUUGCCUGGCACAUGGUAUGUUCUUUGACUUGAAAAGAAGAGUCAAUCUUCUUUUAUUUCAGAAAAGAUUUUUAAAUUUAUAUAUUGAAAUAUAUCUUGAUCUAAAUAAUAAAUAUAGUUGGCCCGCCAUAUCUAUGGGUUCCACAUCCAUGGAUUCAACCAACUGGGAUCAAAAAUAUUCCAAACAACAAUAAAAACAAUAAACAAUAAACAACAAUAAAACAAUAAACAACACAAUAAACAAAAUAAACAACAAUAAACAAAACAAUAAACAAUAAAAAAUAACAAUAGAACAAUUAAAAAAAUACAAAAUUUAAAAAUACAGUAUAACAUCUAUUUACAUAACAUUUAUAUAUUGUAUUAGGUAUUAUAAGUGAUCUAGAAAUGACUUAAAGUAUACAGAAGCCUAGCCUGGGCAACACAGUGAGACUUCCAUUUCUACAAAAAAUAACAUUAGCCACGUGUAGUGGUGCAUGCUUGUGGUCCCAGCUACUCAGGAGGCUGAGCUGGGAGAAUUGCUUAAGUCCCAGAGGUUAAGGCUGCAGUGAGCUGUGAUCACACCACUGCAUUCCAGCCUGGGUGACAAACUGAGAACCCGUCUCAAAAAAUAAGUACAUACAAUAAAAAAUAAAGUAUACAGGAGGAUGUGCAUAGAUUAUAUGCAAAUCUCACACCAUUUUAUGUAAGAAACUUGAGCAUCCUCAGAUUUUGGUAUCCAUGGAGCUUUCCGGAACCAAUCCCCUGUGGAUACCUGUAUACACACACACACACAAAUACACACAUAUAAAUACACACACACAUAUACACACACAUAUAUAAAUACACACACAUACACAGAGUGCAAUUGCUGGAGUGUCUGGUAAGCCUUUGUUUAAUCUUUAAGAAACUGCCAGACUGUCUUCCAAGUGGCUGCAUCAUUUUGCAUUCCCACCAGCAAUGAAUGAGAGCUCCUGUUGCUCCACAACCUCAUCAGCAUUUGCUGUUCUUAGUAUUUUGGAUUUUAGCUCAUCUAAUAAGUGUAUACUGGUAUCUUGUUUUAAUUUGCAAUUUUCUAGUGACAUAUUGUGUUGAGAAUCUUUUCAUAUGUUCAUUUGCCAUCUACAUAUAUUCUUUGGGGAGGUUUCCAUUCAGCUCUUUUGCCCAUAUUUUAAUCAGGUUGUUCAUUUUCUUAUUGCUGAGUUUUAAGAGUUCUUUGUAUUUCAGACAUACUUCCUUUAUCAGAUAGGUGUUUUGCACAUAUUUUCUCAUAGUCUGUGGCAUGUGUUUUCAUUCUCUUAACAGUGUCUUUGCAGAGCAGAAGUUUUUCAUUUUAAUGAAGUCCAACUUAUCUAUCUUUCUUUUCUUUUAUGGAUUGUGCUUUGGUGUUGUAUCUAAAAACUCACUGCCAAACCAAAGUCACCUAGAGUUUCUCCUAUGUGAUAUGCUUACCUGAAUGAAAUGUUUGGCUUUUUCAUUCUUCUUCACAGUAUAACCCUCUUCUAACUUCAUUUCAAAAAUGUGUAAGCCAUUCAUUCUAGUUUUUCCGUAUUUUAGCAGCCACAUUACUAAAUCACUUAUUUCUCAGGUUCCAGUUUUCUUCCCUCUUGGGAAAUCAUCUCCCUGAGUCAGCAAAGGCCCGUUACUUUUUUAGUUUUCCAGUGUCUCUAGUCUCAUAGUUGCGUUCUCUGACGUUUGGAUAGUCAUCACUCUCCUCUUUAAUCCUCAAAACAUUGCCAUGGAGUUCUAAAAGGAAGGAGAGCAAAUGAUAUGGAGGUAGUAGUUGCCGAUUUCCUGAACCAACCUCAGGAGAUAAAUGAGCAAACACUUCCCAAACUUCAAUUCCAGCCUGUUUGGCCCAAAUUUAUAUGAAGUGCUCACUUGUCAAUUAAUAGCUUCUUCACUGAUUUUUCUUGCAGCCUUAGUAAGGAAACUUCUUUUUUUUUUUUUUUCUUUUCUUUUAAUGAGACAGGAUCUUACUAUAUUGGCCAGGUUGGGCUGAACUCUUGGCCUCAAGCAAUCCUCUCGCCUCUGCCUCCCAAAAUGCUAGGAUUACAGGUGUGAGCCACCACGCCCAGCCAGGAAACUUCUACAACAAAAGGUUUCUGUUACAGAGUUUAUUUAUUUUUUAUUUUUAAGAUAGAGUUUUACUCUGUCACCCAGGCUGGAGUGCAUGGCACAGUCACGGCUCAUUGCAGCCUCAACCUCCCAGGCUCAAGCAACCCUCCUCCCACCUCAGCCUCUUGAGUAGCUGGGACUACAGGUGUGUGCCCCCAUGCCUGGCUAAUUUUUUUAGUUUCGUAGAAACAGGGUCUUACUAUGUUGCGCAGGCUGGUCUUGAACUCCUGGACUUAACGCAAUCCUCUCACCUUGGCCUCCCAAAGUGCUGGGAUUACAAGCAUGAGCCACUACACUUGGCUCUCUGUUAGAUAAUUUAAACGGACAACAUCUCUUGUAUCAAAGAAAAUUUAACUAGUUUCUUCCCAUUUGCCUUUUCUUUCUGUAAUGGAGUUCCAAAUGGAAUUAGUAAUAGGCAUAGUAAUUUGAGUUCUGAAUGGCUUUAACGAUCGCCUCCUGAGUAGCUGGGACUACAGGUGUGUGCCUCCAUGCCCAGCUAAUUUUUGUAUUUUUUGUAGAGACAAGAGUUUUGCCAUGUUGCCUAGGCUGGUCUUGAACUCCUGAGCUCAAGCGAUCUGCCUGCCUUAGCUUCCCAAAGUGCUGGGAUUACAGGCAUGAGCCACCACACCCGGCCUAAGCAUGCUUCUUAUAAAGAUAACCCACCAAAUCAUUCAUAGUGUUUCUGUCUGACAUGUUUAAUUUAGAUAAGCUGAGGUGAAGAGUGAGUAUGAGUUUCCUACGGCUGCUAUAACAAAUUCCUACAAACUGGAUGGCCUGAAACAAUAGAAAUGCAUUCUCUCACAGUUCUGGAGGCCAGAACUCUGAAGUCAAAUGUCAGCAGAGUUGUGCUCCUUCUGAAGGCUCUAAGGGAGGAAGAAUUCUUCCUUGCCCUUUCCUAGCUUCUGGUGGUUGCUGGAAAUUCUUGGCAUUUCGUGGUUUAUAGCUGCAUCACUCCAAUCUCUGUCUGUCUGCACAUGGCUGUCUUCCCUCUGUGUGUGUGUGUCUUUAAAUCUCCUUCUCCUUAUAAGAACACCAGUCAUUGGAUUUAGGGCCCACCCUAUUCCAGUGUGACCUCACCUUAACUUGAUCAUGUCUCCAAGGAUCCUAUUUCCAAAUAAAGUCACAGCCACAGGGUUUAGGAUUUCAAUUCAACACACAACAGAGCAAUGCUAUAAGGCCUAUGGCACAAGAAUAAAAUUCAGAGGAGAUAUGCUAGAGAGAGAAAAACACAGAAUAAAACACGCUUCAGGAAGAACAAUUGGAGGUAUGCGUGGUGUGUGGUUAUUUCUUUGAAGACAGGCUGCUUCAGUCUGAGAAAGUGCUUCUUGUAAAUAUACAUAGAGAAGCGUAGUGUAAAUAUGCUUGACUUUAGCCUUGAAAAGAAUAAUUAGGAAAACAACAAACCCAAAUCAUCAAUAUUAACUAAAGGAAAUUGUCAGAGAGAGUAAACAUUUAAAGCAUAAUUGCAGCUGAACACGGUGGGGUGUGAGAGGAGAGGUCUCAUAACUGGCCACCAGUCACGCAAUAACAGGCAAUGCACUGCCCCUACCUUAAUUUUUGUUUCAUUUUGUUCCUGUUUCUGUUUUGCUUCAUUAUUGAUUGAUCAGACAUCUGGUAAACAUUUAUCAUCAAUAUUAUUGAUUGGCAUUUCCCUCCACCAUUUGCUCAAGUCUCCAAAGUAUUGGCUGUGCUAUCACGGCACACAAGUUACCUGGGGAGUGCAGUGGAGAGAAAGACCUUGGGUCUGCAGAAGGAUAUUGUGCCUUCUAAGUAUGACUGAGAAGGUGAAGCUAAAACCUGCUGGUCUUGCAGUGUCUCAACUCUCUCACAGUGUUGGGGAUUAUAGUGGGUGGCUUUAAAU